RNAcentral lists this ribosomal RNA (253 nucleotides) under uncultured bacterium. RNAcentral describes it as "partial 16S ribosomal RNA". It matches the Rfam family "Bacterial small subunit ribosomal RNA", at positions 524 to 776 of the family's 1533-position model. The record is from RNAcentral.
UACGUAGGGUGCAAGCGUUGUCCGGAAUCAUUGGGCGUAAAGCGCGCGUAGGUGGCCACAUAAGUCCGUUGUGAAAGUCAAAGGCUCAACCUUUGAAAGCCGAUGGAUACUGUGUGGCUAGAGUACGGAAGAGGCGAGUGGAAUUCCUGGUGUAGCGGUGAAAUGCGCAGAUAUCAGGAAGAACACCCGUGGCGAAGGCGGCUCUCUGGGACGGUACUGACGCUGAGACGCGAAAGCGUGGGGAGCGAACAGG